GACGAAAGCACAAAGGAUGAAAUCGUGAAGCAUAGAAAAAGCUUUCACUUGUAAUGCUGAAAAUUUCGAAUAAUUACCUGAUAUGAAGGUUAUAGGACUUUUGGUCCAAUUUUUUUUGUCCAUAAAUUUUUUCGUCCAAUUUAUUUUGUCCACGACUUUUUGUCCUUGAAAUCUGGUCCAAGUUAAAUUCGUCCUGGUAAAUAGUUAGUCCUACGCAUUUGUUCGUCCAGUGGUAUUAGGUCACAUUUCUGUGGUCCAGUAAGGUAAAAAAGUUAUGUCCAAAACUCACGUCCAAUGAGGCCGUUUCAGCGACGUACGUUGACCACACGUACGUGCGUGGCAAACCAGCUCGGGGAAGAAGACGUGCGGUACCUCCCCUGUUCCCUCCCGAAACAUGGAACGUCUACAACUUAGUUUUGGCAGAUCGUAUUAGAACAAACAACGCAGUUGAGGGCUUUCACUCAAAAUUCAACCAAAUCGUCGGCACGCAUCAUGCUAACAUUUGGAAGCUCAUUGACGCUUUUAAAAAGGUUCAACAGGACACAGAGCGUACGUUAACACAGGCUCGGGGGGGUCAUCGCCGCUUUAAACCACCGGUGAGCAAGAAGUACACUACCAAUCAGUCAAUGAUUGCCAACAUCGUCCGAAAUUACCAACAUUACAAGGACACGAACUCACUUAAGAAGUACCUCCGAGCAUGUGCGUACCACCUCAAGUUGCACACGCCACGCGCAGAUCCACCGGACUCGGACGAAGAAGACUCAGACGAUGACUGAAAGUAGCUGAAAGCUGAAAGGAAAUAGCUGAAACGGCCUCAUUGGACGUGAGUUUUGGACAUAACUUUUUUACCUUACUGGACCACAGAAAUGUGACCUAAUACCACUGGACGAACAAAUGCGUAGGACUAACUAUUUACCAGGACGAAUUUAACUUGGACCAGAUUUCAAGGACAAAAAGUCGUGGACAAAAUAAAUUGGACGAAAAAAUUUAUGGACAAAAAAAAUUGGACCAAAAGUCCUGUAACCGAUAUGAAAAUUCAGAUUUUUAGGGGGCAAUUUUUACGGGCUACGUUGGCGCAGAGCCUCCAUUUUU
RNAcentral lists this long non-coding RNA (1092 nucleotides) under Bemisia tabaci. Its description in RNAcentral is "lncRNA ENSSSA1NGG007572". The record is from RNAcentral. Lineage: Eukaryota; Metazoa; Arthropoda; Insecta; Hemiptera; Aleyrodidae.